AAUCCUUGUCAGCAUUUUGUCUAAGAUCAAGUGUAGUAUCUGUCCUUACCAGUUGGUAUGUCCUUAUCUGGGGACUGUGUAUAAGUUGAUUUUUGGAUGCCAUAGGGAAGCAUUUGCCUAAUGGUAAUAUUGCUGCACUAUUGAUCUAGACACUCAGAUAAUGCUCUGAGGACCCGGGAUUAAAUCC
Molecule: small nuclear RNA, 187 nt
Organism: Stegostoma tigrinum
Lineage: Eukaryota; Metazoa; Chordata; Chondrichthyes; Orectolobiformes; Stegostomatidae
Product: U2 spliceosomal RNA
Exons: 1
Source: RefSeq, a predicted model, not a curated record